Molecule: ribosomal RNA, 588 nt
Filed under: Triticum aestivum (bread wheat)
Lineage: Eukaryota; Viridiplantae; Streptophyta; Magnoliopsida; Poales; Poaceae
Description: partial small subunit ribosomal RNA
Source: RNAcentral
AUGGAGAAAGUCAAAGAACCCAAAGCAAAUUGGGACAGUGUUGCUCAUACAAUUUUUAUGAAUGCGUGCGUAGAGGAGGUUCGAGCAAAUAACCGCAAUGGUGGUUAUUUGUCGGACAUAGGACAAGCUAAUUUGCAUAAAAAGUUCAACGAACGCUCUGGAAGAAACUAUUCGACCCGGCAAAUAAAAAAUAGGUGGGGUGUAUGUAGAAGCGAGUACAACACAUGGAAGACAUUGAUCCAACAAGCAUCUGGCUUAGGAAGAGAUGCGCAUAUACACACUAUUGCAGCUACAAAUGAGUGGUGGGCAUUGGAGAUAAAGGCACAUCCAGAAGCUGCCAAGUUUCGCUAUGCUCCACUAGCGGAGGAGGAAAAAAUGUCAGAGGUUUUCGAUACUACUUGUGUCACAGAUGAGCAUGCGAGGGUGCCAACUCCCUCAUAUCAAGGUGAUCCCUCUCAAAUCAGUUUGGAGGAUGACUCAGGGUGUGAUAGUCAUGAAGGGCAAGUUACCCCUGUUCAAAAUCGAGCCAAGGGUGGGAAGAAGAGGGCGUGUCCUUAUUCGCCAAGUCCAAAGAUGAAUGACAAGUGA